RNAcentral lists this ribosomal RNA (466 nucleotides) under uncultured bacterium. RNAcentral's name for it is "bacterial SSU rRNA". It matches the Rfam family "Bacterial small subunit ribosomal RNA", at positions 329 to 792 of the family's 1533-position model. The record is from RNAcentral.
GGCCAGACUCCUACGGGAGGCAGCAGUGAGGAAUAUUGGUCAAUGGGCUUACGCCUGAACCAGCCAAGUCGCGUGAGGGAAGACUGCCCUAUGGGUUGUAAACCUCUUUUGUCAGGGAGCAAUUGGCGCUACGUGUAGCGUUAUCGAGAGUACCUGAAGAAAAGGCAUCGGCUAACUCCGUGCCAGCAGCCGCGGUAAUACGGAGGAUGCGAGCGUUAUCCGGAUUUAUUGGGUUUAAAGGGUGCGUAGGCGGAAUGCCAAGUCAGCGGUAAAAUCGCGGGGCUCAACCUCGCUCCGCCGUUGAAACUGGGGAUCUAGAGUGUGCGAGAGGUAUGCGGAAUGCGUGGUGUAGCGGUGAAAUGCAUAGAUAUCACGCAGAACCCCGAUUGCGAAGGCAGCAUACCGGUGCACAACUGACGCUCAGGCACGAAAGCGUGGGUAUCGAACAGGAUUAGAUACCCCAGUA